RNAcentral lists this transfer RNA (75 nucleotides) under Micavibrio sp. RNAcentral's name for it is "tRNA-Thr". It matches the Rfam family "tRNA". Rfam says of the family: Transfer RNA (tRNA) molecules are approximately 80 nucleotides in length. Their secondary structure includes four short double-helical elements and three loops (D, anti-codon, and T loops). Lineage: Bacteria; Pseudomonadati; Bdellovibrionota; Bdellovibrionia; Bdellovibrionales; Pseudobdellovibrionaceae. The record is from RNAcentral.
GCUGCUGUAGCUCAGUGGUAGAGCGCACCCUUGGUAAGGGUGAGGGCGGGAGUUCAAUCCUCCCCAGCAGCACCA